RNAcentral lists this long non-coding RNA (381 nucleotides) under Medicago truncatula (barrel medic). Its description in RNAcentral is "long non-coding RNA (MTRU_LNC007999)". The record is from RNAcentral. Lineage: Eukaryota; Viridiplantae; Streptophyta; Magnoliopsida; Fabales; Fabaceae.
UCAAGUGUGUGAUUAUUAGGGUGACCUAAUCCAAGUGCCGCAAAUAUUGUGAAGUAAAAGAAGAAUGAUUAUUACAAGAGCUAGAACUAAUGUUUAUAGUGCAAACAGACGCAUUAUUUGGAAGAGGUAAAGACAAUGAAGACUUAGCCGAUUGGAGAGAGACACUGGGAAAGGUAUAGAGACCAUCAGGACCAACUUUGCCAUGCUGAAGAACUUCUUUAGUGGCCUGAGAUUUGACAACAAAGUGGUCAGAAUGAAACUCAAAAAAGACAGAAUUAUCUUUUGCAAAUUGACUAACACUAAUUAGAUUUUUGGUUAUGGAAGGAACAUGCAAAAGAUUAUUUAGCGUCAGUGUGAUUUGUGGUUUAAUAGGUGAUGAAA